This 253-nucleotide ribosomal RNA is filed under the name uncultured bacterium. Its description in RNAcentral is "partial 16S ribosomal RNA". It matches the Rfam family "Bacterial small subunit ribosomal RNA", at positions 524 to 776 of the family's 1533-position model. The record is from RNAcentral.
UACGUAGGGUGCAAGCGCUAAUCGGAAUUACUGGGCGUAAAGCGUGCGCAGGCGGCGAUGCAAGACAGGUGUGAAAACCCCGGGCUUAACCUGGGAACUGCAUUUGUGACUGCAUCGCUGGAGUGCGGCAGAGGGGGCUGGAAUUCCGCGUGUAGCAGUGAAAUGCGUAGAUAUGCGGAGGAACACCGAUGGCGAAGGCAAUCCCCUGGGCCUGCACUGACGCUCAUGCGCGAAAGCGUGGGGAGCAAACAUG